AAGUUAAUGGCAUUGAAUGAUUUAUAAGGGAUUUUAAAAGCUUUUAAAAGCUUUUAAAAGUGUUAAACAUGAUUUACAAUCGUUUUUAAAGUAUUUACUAUAAAACCUGUAAUAAUAGUCUCUACACUGUCUUUUGUUCAUACAGGAAUUCAAUGUGAACCUGUUCAUAGGGAACUUCGACGAAAGGGGAAAGAUCCUGUAAAAGAACCAUACUUUUGGGCUAAUAAAGAAUCCUAUACUCUUGGUGAUCUCGAAGAUCGAUUGUUUUUAAAACCUAAGGAAGGUGAACCUGCUGUUGAAGAUGAAGAAAAGUUGUGUCUUGCUGCAGUAGUGUUGACUGAAGGAAUUCUUUUGACACCAUAUGGAAAAGAGAAGAUACCUUUGCCAAGAUUGCAGCAUGCUUCUGAUUUUGAGAUGUACACAGCCCAACCGUGGGGUAAAGAAGCAUUCAGUGUUCUAUCAAAUUCAAUUCUGAGAAUGGACGAGAAAACUUGGGCAAAAGAGAAAUAUGAUUUGAGAGGAUUUGGACUAGCGCUAACAAUAUGGGUGUUGAGCGCAGUUCCAGCAUUUGGUGCAGCAUAUGGAGUUAAAGAUAAGGAAUUCCAAUCUGAAUAUCCAUUGAUAUUGAAGUGGAAAAGCACUACUACUCCAGAGUUUUUCAAGAUCGUAAACCUUGUAAAUGAUGUUUCUGAGGUAAGCUUUUGUCUAUUUACAGAAUUCUUUAAAUGGUUUUGAGAUUUGAAGUUCUGCUUUCUCAAGAUUUGUAAUGUUAUUGUAACUUCGCAGAUUGAGGUGAAUACAAUUAUUGGAAACCCAGAAGACUUCAAGUCUUUAGUUCCUGAUUUCCACACAGACGACGUAGAAUUCCAACAGGUUUUGGAACUUGUUAAGAUGGGCUACAGAUUGAAGAAAACUGAAUGGAAUACAAGAUGCGUUGAUGUUUGUGUUGCCCUUGAAGAAGUAGGUCAAAACAAAAUCAAUAACAAAAUAUCUGAUAGCGAGAAGCUUGACAGGAUUUUGACAAUCCUUGAAGAUCUUAACAAGAGAGUCGAGCUGAUUGAGAGGAUUUUGGACAUUAGAAUGGAGGAAAAGAAUAAUCAGAGAUCUGAGGAAGAUGAAGAAAGAAAACAAGAAGAUGAAGGAGUAGAAAGACAACCAGAGGUAAUUGUAAAUGUUUCUUUAAAAGCUAUUUGAAAGGAAAUGUUUUACAAUGUAUUUUAAAGGUUAAAUACGUAGUAAACCUUUACAAUGUACUCUUUUUUUUCGCAGGCUGAAGAAGAAGGAGGACUAGAAAGAAAAGCAGAGGUAAUUGAAAAUCUUUACAAGCUAUUUUAUAGUCUACUAAUUAUGUUUUACCAUCACGUUGGGUGUUUUGAUUGACUUAUUGUUUUUAUUUUGUUACAGAAUGACAAUGAAUCAUUUGAAGAUUCAAUCCGAGAGCCAAACACACAGUAUGGGAGCUAUCCGGGUGAUGAUGAAAACAUC
RNAcentral lists this small RNA (1485 nucleotides) under Arabidopsis thaliana (thale cress). RNAcentral describes it as "ATSL176420". The record is from RNAcentral. Lineage: Eukaryota; Viridiplantae; Streptophyta; Magnoliopsida; Brassicales; Brassicaceae.